This is a long non-coding RNA of Mesocricetus auratus (golden hamster), 1697 nucleotides long. RefSeq lists it as uncharacterized. The record is from RefSeq and is a predicted model, not a curated record. Lineage: Eukaryota; Metazoa; Chordata; Mammalia; Rodentia; Cricetidae. The transcript has 5 exons.
CUGCCUUUCACCUCAACUGCUUCAAAGGACUCUUCAGUCUGUGAACAAGAGGACACUGGAAUCAACUUUCUCCAUGUUACUCAGGUCAAAGGUUUUAUGAUGCCACAAAGAGAUCAUCUGCAUUCUGCUCACCACAAGAACAGAUGGGUCACAGGGAAGGUGGAUCUGUGACUCAUUACCUCACAGAACCUGCAGAGGCUGUCUGAGUGUCAGGCAAACUUCUGGGAUCAAUAGGGUUGGAGGCAAGGCAGCGCCUGCCAGUAGGUCUUAAAGAAAGUCAUUAGUCAACCAGUGACCUGGCAACCCCGCGACAGUAGCCCUCUGAAGUGGAUUCUCAGAAAGGGAGUAGGCGAGUCAGUAUCAUGAAGAGCCUAAUAUCUGGCCAGAUUGAAAGCAGAGGCAAAGGACCCACAGCUCUGCCAUUCACCCUGACUAAAGCCAAGAGUGCCAGUUCCUCAGAUCAGUGCAGCCCUCAUCGGAGAAGUUUCUUUGUGCAGUGGAUGGUGGACAGUGCAGAAACCCACAACUGACCUCGGUGCAGAGAACAGGUAGAAACCCAGACACAAAGACAACACACUUGUAGAUCUUGCAGAACUUGAAGCAGCCUCAGUAAAGAGAAGGGGAAUUUCUUGCCCUCCUGAUUCACCCAGAGCAAGGCAACCUCAGAAGAGUAAGUCAGCCCCGUUCCAGGGGCCUGGUCAUUCUCCGGAAUUUCUCCAGCAAGACUAUGAAAAGGAAGCCAGCCGCACUGCUGCAUAAUUUAUACACAGUUCACUGCGCCCACACUGCCAGGCCCCACUCUCAAGGGAAACCUUUUGUUCUCUGCUUGGGGAAUGUAGAACCUGGAGAGUCUCAGUUGAGCAAGCCAGGGAAAAACAGAAUAAUUAGAGUUAAGGAUGGGGAUAAAUUACUAAGAUAUUCCUGGCUGCAGCCUUUGGCACUUCGUGGGCCUGUGAUGGCUCUGUGUUUUUCAAAGCAUCCAAAGGACAGAGUUACCAGCACUGAAGAUAUCGCUCAAGGAGAGAUAUAACAAUGGCUCAGGCUGGACUACUAAUCACAUCAGCAAAGGGACAAGAGGGGCUUCUUUCUGAAGAAAUACCACUGUACCAAUUGGAGCUACUUCUGUUAGCAAGCUGUCAGAACUCAGGCUUGUUAAUGCCGGCUCUGCACUUCAUCAACACUUGCUGACAGGUUCCUGACAGACCAUAAUAAUACAAGUGCAGGGCAAUAUUAAGUUGCCUUUUCAGUUAGACUUGCUGGUAACAGCUCAAAUGUGGCCAUGACAACAUGAAAAGAAUAAAUAAGCUGAAGUAGUUUUCCCAUGCUCUCAGAGAAAGACAUCUCACUGUCAAAAACAAAAGAUAAAAAGCCGUUGCCAAAAUAUUCCAAAAUCUGAGUGAAAUCCUUGGGUUUGAGGAUUAACAUUUGACUGAAAUCAUUUUAAAUGAUAUUAAUUAGGGGUAAUAUGAAAAGCAGUGGACAAGCAGAGAGGGAUGGAAUGCUUGUGCAAGGCACUGUGCACUGUCUGUGUGGGCUACUAAACCUCACAGUAACCUUGAGAAGAUAACGCCACAGCCCCGUGUGACAGAAAAGGACAAAGAGCUCAGCAAGGUGGAGCAAUUACUUGAAUCCAUUAGGAAGGAGUGGGCAAAAGCUGAUACCUUGUUCUGAUCAAUUAAAGUCUACUACUAAAGCCA